AGUGGAGUGGCUGAGAUAAAUAAGUAGGCGAUAGGCUGUAAAUCUAUUUAGGGGUAUUUACGUUACUUUUCCACUA
RNAcentral lists this transfer RNA (76 nucleotides) under Pseudacanthotermes militaris. Its description in RNAcentral is "tRNA-Tyr". The record is from RNAcentral. Lineage: Eukaryota; Metazoa; Arthropoda; Insecta; Blattodea; Termitidae.